This 301-nucleotide ribosomal RNA is filed under the name uncultured bacterium. Its description in RNAcentral is "partial 16S ribosomal RNA". It matches the Rfam family "Bacterial small subunit ribosomal RNA", at positions 509 to 809 of the family's 1533-position model. The record is from RNAcentral.
CAGUCGCCGCGGGAAUACAGAGGGUGCAAGCGUUAAUCGGAAUUACUGGGCGUAAAGCGCGCGUAGGUGGUUUGUUAAGUUGGAUGUGAAAUCCCCGGGCUCAACCUGGGAACUGCAUCCAAAACUGGCAAGCUAGAGUAUGGUAGAGGGUGGUGGAAUUUCCUGUGUAGCGGUGAAAUGCGUAGAUAUAGGAAGGAACACCAGUGGCGAAGGCGACCACCUGGACUGAUACUGACACUGAGGUGCCAAAGCGUGGGGAGCAAACAGGAUUAGAUACCCCCGUAGUCCCUGUCUCUUAUAU